ACACACCCGUUCCCAUCCCGAACACGGAAGUUAAGCUCUCCAGCGCCGAUGGUAGUUGGGGCCAGGGCCCCUGCGAGAGUAGGACGUUGCCGGGC
RNAcentral lists this ribosomal RNA (95 nucleotides) under Thermolongibacillus altinsuensis. The record is from RNAcentral. Lineage: Bacteria; Bacillati; Bacillota; Bacilli; Caryophanales; Anoxybacillaceae.